GUGUAUGGCCAUGCCAUCCUCAACAAGCCCGAUCCUGUCUGAUAUCAAAAGCUAAGCAGGGUCGGGCCUGGUUAGUACUUGGAUGGGAGACCACCUAGGAAGACUAGGUGCUGUAGGUG
This 119-nucleotide ribosomal RNA is filed under the name Pteropus alecto (black flying fox). The record is from RNAcentral. Lineage: Eukaryota; Metazoa; Chordata; Mammalia; Chiroptera; Pteropodidae.